Molecule: microRNA precursor, 82 nt
Filed under: Myotis lucifugus (little brown bat)
Lineage: Eukaryota; Metazoa; Chordata; Mammalia; Chiroptera; Vespertilionidae
Description: miRNA (ENSMLUG00000021282.1)
Source: RNAcentral
AGGGUGACCAAUUGUCCUGGUUUGCCUGAGACUGAGGGGUUUCCUGUAAUGCUGGAUUGUCAGUGCUGAUACCAGAAAAGUC